This 112-nucleotide ribosomal RNA is filed under the name Caerostris darwini. The record is from RNAcentral. Lineage: Eukaryota; Metazoa; Arthropoda; Arachnida; Araneae; Araneidae.
AACGGCCGUACCAUGCUGAAUAUACCGGUUCUCGUUAGAUCACCGAAGUCAAGCAACAUUGGGCGCAGUCAGUAAUUGGGUGGGUGACCACCUGGGAACACUGCGUGCCGUU